This 263-nucleotide ribosomal RNA is filed under the name Acinetobacter haemolyticus. Its description in RNAcentral is "partial 16S ribosomal RNA". It matches the Rfam family "Bacterial small subunit ribosomal RNA", at positions 312 to 566 of the family's 1533-position model. The record is from RNAcentral. Lineage: Bacteria; Pseudomonadati; Pseudomonadota; Gammaproteobacteria; Moraxellales; Moraxellaceae.
ACUGGGACUGAGACACGGCCCAGACUCCUACGGGAGGCAGCAGUGGGGAAUAUUGGACAAUGGGGGGAACCCUGAUCCAGCCAUGCCGCGUGUGUGAAGAAGGCCUUUUGGUUGUAAAGCACUUUAAGCGAGGAGGAGGCUACUAGUAUUAAUACUACUGGAUAGUGGACGUUACUCGCAGAAUAAGCACCGGCUAACUCUGUGCCAGCAGCCGCGGUAAUACAGAGGGUGCGAGCGUUAAUCGGAUUUACUGGGCGUAAAGC